Molecule: ribosomal RNA, 301 nt
Filed under: uncultured bacterium
Lineage: Bacteria
Description: partial 16S ribosomal RNA
Rfam family: Bacterial small subunit ribosomal RNA
Source: RNAcentral
CAGUAGCCGCGGGAAUACGUAGGGGGCAAGCGUUGUCCGGAAUCAUUGGGCGUAAAGCGCGUGUAGGCGGCUCGAUAAGUCUGCUGUGAAAGUCCAGGGCUCAACCCUGGAAUGCCGGUGGAAACUGUCGAGCUCGAGUCCGGAAGAGGCAAGUGGAAUUCCUGGUGUAGCGGUGAAAUGCGCAGAUAUCAGGAGGAACACCAAUGGCGAAGGCAGCUUGCUGGGACGGUACUGACGCUGAGACGCGAAAGCGUGGGGAGCAAACAGGAUUAGAUACCCCGGUAGUCCCUGUCUCUUAUAC